Long non-coding RNA from Salvia hispanica, 320 nucleotides. RefSeq lists it as uncharacterized. NCBI's taxonomy places the organism in Eukaryota, Viridiplantae, Streptophyta, Magnoliopsida, Lamiales, Lamiaceae. The record is from RefSeq and is a predicted model, not a curated record.
CGAGGACGAGGACGAGGAGGAGUGAGAGCCGAGGGGGUGGUAUUAGAGGGAUAACAAAUUCGUAGGUGCUGUUUUGAGGAGUGGAUGCUGUAGGCAUUGACUUGCCUUGGUCCAUUGCUAAAGUGGAAUUGUCUCUUUUCCUGUGCAAGAAAAGGCUGGCUGCCUUGCUGUUGCUUCGAGACGGGCUCGCUGCCUCGGGCCCUCGGGCUGAUCGGAUACGGGCCGCGAAGAACGCGAGGAUUGGGCUUGUUGAAACGAGGCUCACACUUACUUAUUAAUAUACUCUUAGUUUUUUUUUUCUCAGAUGUUCAUGUACUUUG